Molecule: ribosomal RNA, 408 nt
Filed under: Enterococcus faecalis
Lineage: Bacteria; Bacillati; Bacillota; Bacilli; Lactobacillales; Enterococcaceae
Description: bacterial SSU rRNA
Rfam family: Bacterial small subunit ribosomal RNA
Source: RNAcentral
AGUCGAACGCUUCUUUCCUCCCGAGUGCUUGCACUCAAUUGGAAAGAGGAGUGGCGGACGGGUGAGUAACACGUGGGUAACCUACCCAUCAGAGGGGGAUAACACUUGGAAACAGGUGCUAAUACCGCAUAACAGUUUAUGCCGCAUGGCAUAAGAGUGAAAGGCGCUUUCGGGUGUCGCUGAUGGAUGGACCCGCGGUGCAUUAGCUAGUUGGUGAGGUAACGGCUCACCAAGGCCACGAUGCAUAGCCGACCUGAGAGGGUGAUCGGCCACACUGGGACUGAGACACGGCCCAGACUCCUACGGGAGGCAGCAGUAGGGAAUCUUCGGCAAUGGACGAAAGUCUGACCGAGCAACGCCGCGUGAGUGAAGAAGGUUUUCGGAUCGUAAAACUCUGUUGUUAGAGAA